GUCUACAGCCAUAUCACACUGAUUCUGGAAGCUAAGCACAGUCAGGCCUGGCCAGUACUUGAAUGGGAGACUGCCUAAGAAUUCUGGGUGCUGUAGGCU
Molecule: ribosomal RNA, 99 nt
Organism: Cercocebus atys (sooty mangabey)
Lineage: Eukaryota; Metazoa; Chordata; Mammalia; Primates; Cercopithecidae
Source: Ensembl